This 544-nucleotide ribosomal RNA is filed under the name uncultured bacterium. RNAcentral's name for it is "bacterial SSU rRNA". It matches the Rfam family "Bacterial small subunit ribosomal RNA", at positions 777 to 1319 of the family's 1533-position model. The record is from RNAcentral.
AAUAGAUACCCAGGUAGUCCACGCCGUAAACGAUGAGUGCUAAGUGUUGGGGGGUUUCCGCCCCUCAGUGCUGCAGCUAACGCAUUAAGCACUCCGCCUGGGGAGUACGGUCGCAAGACUGAAACUCAAAGGAAUUGACGGGGGCCCGCACAAGCGGUGGAGCAUGCGGUUUAAUUCGAAGCAACGCGAAGAACCUUACCAGGUCUUGACAUCCCGGUGACCACUAUGGAGACAUAGUUUCCCCUUCGGGGGCAACGGUGACAGGUGGUGCAUGGUUGUCGUCAGCUCGUGUCGUGAGAUGUUGGGUUAAGUCCCGCAACGAGCGCAACCCUUAUUCUUAGUUGCCAUCAUUCAGUUGGGCACUCUAAGGAGACUGCCGGUGAUAAACCGGAGGAAGGUGGGGAUGACGUCAAAUCAUCAUGCCCCUUAUGACCUGGGCUACACACGUGCUACAAUGGACGGUACAAACGGUUGCCAACCCGCGAGGGGGAGCUAAUCCGAUAAAACCGUUCUCAGUUCGGAUUGUAGGCUGCAACUCGCCUAC